UGUUCUCUCUACCUCGUGGUUCCCUAGCCCUAGAGCUAGCUAGCUGGCAGAGAUCAAGUCAAGCAGGCUAUCGAGCUUUUAACCUCAAUUGAGAAUAAAAGUGAGCAGCCACCGGGCCCGGCCCCUGCCCCUCGUCCAGCAGAAGCCAAUGCAAGUGGUGCGUGUAGCCGAGCCUUGGAAGCAAUUCGCUCUGUUUGGGAGAGGUGGCAAUGAGCCUAGUACUUCUCAUGGGCAAGACACCUUCAACUAAAUUAAAGGGAAAAGUUGGUCUGUCAAAUUAGUGUGUCUCAGUGAGAGAAAUGCCAACCGUGUAGCGCGUAUGACAGAAACUUACUAGUUGGGUGAGAAGAAGGCAGUUCUUCCAAAUCUUGAUUGCUCCCCUUACAUCUCUGUUUCCCAAGCUCGAUGGAUGUGGGGGCUAUGAUCUUCUCCGUUGCGUGCCUAACACCAAAUCACUUGAAGUAAUUUCUUCCACAAUUGGACAAUCCCCAAAGCUACUCAAGAGUGUUAUCGGCAAUGUUCAUUCGACCAAUUCAGAAGAAUCUUGACGUUAAACCCUCCAAAAAAGCUAGCCAACUGAAGGAGAAAUGUAUUCACUGUGAUGCUUCAAUCCAUAUAUCCGACUUACGUGAGCAUGUUAGAGUAUGCAGAUGGAAGAAGUCAAGUUUGGAGAAGGGACUUUUUUCUAGCGACUCCGAGAAUGAUUUUGUGGACUGAUUUUGUGGACUCCCCUCCCCCUUAUGAAUAAUUAUGUCUGUACCAAUUUCUGUAAGUUCAAAUUCUGACCUGGAGGAUGUAACGGCGACUGAUAAAGAAAUGUUGAAGCAUGCACUGAACAUAUCCAAUCAAGUACCACAGAAACCAGAAAGCAGCGAGGAAUUAAUUACACCUCAGUAGGUCUAUCAAGGAUGAAGAGGUUAUCUUGACAGUGAGAAGGAAUAACGUGUUGCAAGAUGCCUUGGAGUGCCCAAGAGAAUUUCAAAAUCACUUGUUGUGGACUUUCUGGGUGAAGCUGGGCAAGAUGGUGGUGGGUUAAGAAGGGAGUUUUGAGUUUUGGUCUGUUCUUGAAGAACUCACUGUUCGUUAACACCAAGACAAGACAUGACAUUACAGCUCUCCAGGAGAAGAAGUUUGUACGCUUAGUAGCAAUGGGAUUACUGCAAGAGGGAAAUGGAAUUCCAUUUCUUGCCCCCCCAGUGUUUCAAUAUCUGUGUGGCACGAGUGCAGAGAUUAGUAUUGAAGACUCCCCCCACACUGGAGGUCAAAUCGUUAGUACAAUUGAGUGAAAGCUGUGCUACCCCAGCUGAAGGAGGGACUGAGCAUCCUUGCUCAUCCUUGCUUUUGGGGAGGCCAUGUGCAACUAUCCGAACCUCAUGGAGCGUUUAUUUGUCACAGGAGUGCGACCACUUCUGUUGAUGGAGUUGAAGAUAGUGUGGGCCUGGGUCAGGUACUGGGUUUCUUCACUGGGAGUGAGUACCCUCCACUACUCGGAUUUGAUAAUAAGAUAUCUAUUCAUUUCAAUAAUGCCGACUCGAAGUUUCCAACAGCAUCUACUUGUGCUCUCCAAUUGACUCUCCCUACCAAAUUCUAUAACAACAAACACGAAUUUCGAAACAACAUGGUUUAUGGCAUAAGAUGCCAUGGAGGGUUUGGAAUGUGCUAACUCUCUAUAACAUGAACUGUAUGAACUAUGUUUAUCAUCAUUAUUUUAUCACUUGUUUUUUUUCCUGCUCCUUGCUAGCGAAUCAGUACAUUUAUUCGUCAUUCAUUCUCAUAAAUCAUGAUCAUGUGUUCCAUUGACUUACAAUGAAAAUUAUUUACAAUGAAAAA
This is a long non-coding RNA of Halichondria panicea, 1830 nucleotides long. RefSeq lists it as uncharacterized. The record is from RefSeq and is a predicted model, not a curated record. Lineage: Eukaryota; Metazoa; Porifera; Demospongiae; Suberitida; Halichondriidae. The transcript has 9 exons.